GUGAAUCAUCAAAUUUUUGAACGCAUAUUGCACUCCCUGGUAUUCCGGAGAGCAUGCCUGUCUGAGGGUAAUUAAAUAGAACAUAUAUUAAUUUUUUUGGUCAAAGGAAAUGAGUUCUUCGCGUUUAUAGCGGUAGCUUGAAAUAAAUGGUCAAGUUUAAUCUUAGUCGAGACGUGUACUAAUAUUAUUUCGUGAAAUC
RNAcentral lists this unclassified non-coding RNA (199 nucleotides) under Ambisporaceae sp. Its description in RNAcentral is "partial contains 5.8S ribosomal RNA and internal transcribed spacer 2". The stretch from base 1 to 71 matches the Rfam family "5.8S ribosomal RNA", at positions 84 to 154 of the family's 154-position model. Lineage: Eukaryota; Fungi; Glomeromycota; Glomeromycetes; Archaeosporales; Ambisporaceae. The record is from RNAcentral.